AGAUAGGAGAUAGCACUGUUCGCCAUGUCGAACACAGAAGUUAAGUCCAUUCUACGGCGGAGUACUUGGGGGGUUGCCGCCCUGGGAGAUAUGCGA
This 96-nucleotide ribosomal RNA is filed under the name Lactococcus cremoris. The record is from RNAcentral. Lineage: Bacteria; Bacillati; Bacillota; Bacilli; Lactobacillales; Streptococcaceae.